AUCUGCGGUCUGAGACAGCUGUGUAUGAAGAGCAUUUACAUACAGAGACACUUUGCAUGAGAGUGUUUAUAGUGCUGUGAGUUUAACACUUCAUGACUGAGAGCAGAACAGAACACAAUCUUCAUCAUCACACAAGACACAACAACAACAAUGAACAACAUCAUCAUCCUCAUCUGGACUCUCUGUAUAUGCAUACAAGGUUUCAGUGGACAGGUGACUGUGACUCAGACUCCCUCUGUUAAAACAGUUCAGAUUGGUGAAUCAGUCACUAUAAACUGUAAAACAAACACAGCAGUGUAUGACGGCUGUCCAGGUCCAUAUACUUGUAUGGCCUGGUAUCAGCAGAAACCUGGAGAAGCUCCUAAACUCUUGACUCGUUAUGCAAACCAAAGAGAGACAAACACUCCAUCUAGAUUCAGUGGCAGUGGAUCCAGAACAGAUUUCACUCUGACCAUCAGUGGAGUCCAGACUGAAGAUACCGGAUAUUAUUACUGUCAAAGUAGACACUAUAUCAGUAGUAGCUAUGUGUUCACACAGUGAUAAAGAGUCGUACA
Cyprinus carpio (common carp) is the source of this 554-nucleotide non-coding RNA. Lineage: Eukaryota; Metazoa; Chordata; Actinopteri; Cypriniformes; Cyprinidae. The record is from the annotation of a RefSeq genome assembly.